CCCUAUCUUAGUGCACCUGAAGGGAA
RNAcentral lists this non-coding RNA (26 nucleotides) under Homo sapiens (human). Lineage: Eukaryota; Metazoa; Chordata; Mammalia; Primates; Hominidae. The record is from RNAcentral.